UACGACUCCCUCUGUGACAGAACCUCUGUAACGCACUAAGCCUUUCAUCAUGAAGACCGCCGUCGCUCUCGCCUGCCUGCUGGUGGCCGUCGCUGCCAGGCCCCAGUUGGGAUUGGGUGUGGGCACUGGUCUUGGAACUGUCGGAACCCUUGGAACCAGCCGUCUCACCACGGGCGGUUUGGGCACAGGCCUCGGAUUCGGCACAGGCCUCGGCACAGGCCUCGGUGUUGGCACAGGCCUUGGACUCGGCACAGGCCUCGGACUCGGCACAGGUCUCGGACUCGGCACAGGACUCGGUGUCGGUGGCACUCGGGUCACCACUAGCCAGACGACUUUCGGCAACACUUUCGGCCGCUAAUCCACAGAUUCUGAGUGCAUGCUUGAAAUAUACCCUUACACCUUUUCGGAACCAUGCGACGUCAGCUCGCUGAUUCUCAGUGCAGACAAAAAUGUGCCUUUUAUCUUUUGGAACCAUGCGAUGUCAGUCUCGUGGAAGUUUUUCCUUGAAGGAAACAGUGUGACUGUAUAUCGUUUGCUCAUUGCUGUGCAUUACUUGUUGUCAUUCCAUAAUAAAUGUGCAAUUU
RNAcentral lists this long non-coding RNA (584 nucleotides) under Amphibalanus amphitrite. Its description in RNAcentral is "uncharacterized LOC122364667, transcript variant X2". Lineage: Eukaryota; Metazoa; Arthropoda; Thecostraca; Balanomorpha; Balanidae. The record is from RNAcentral.